CCUACGGGUGGCAGCAGUGGGGGAUAUUGCACAAUGGGGGGAACCCUGAUGCAGCGACGCCGCGUGGGUGAAGGAGCGUUUCGGCGCGUAAAGCCCUGUCGGUAGGGAAGAUGAUGACGGUACCUGACCAAGAAGCCCCGGCUAACUACGUGCCAGCAGCCGCGGUAAUACGUAGGGGGCAAGCGUUAUCAGGAUUUACUGGGCGUAAAGGGGGCGCAGACGGGAAUGCAAGGCAGAGGUGAAAGCCCGGGGCCCAACCCUGGGACUGCACUUGAAACUGGAUGGCUGGAUUACGGGAGGGGCAGGCGGAAUUCCUGGUGUAGGGGUGAAAUGCGUAGAUAUUAGGAGGAACACCCGUGGCGAAGGCGGCCUGCUAGACUGUGACUGACGUUGAGGCCCGAAGGCGUGGGGAGCAAACAGGAUUAGAUACCCCAGUAGUC
RNAcentral lists this ribosomal RNA (440 nucleotides) under uncultured bacterium. Its description in RNAcentral is "partial 16S ribosomal RNA". It matches the Rfam family "Bacterial small subunit ribosomal RNA", at positions 338 to 795 of the family's 1533-position model. The record is from RNAcentral.